UUGAAAAAUUUUUAAAAAAAAAGAAAAAUUUAUUAUUUGUACCUUGUGUAUCAGGGUUUAUUAAAUAAUUAAUAAUUAUUUAUUAAUCUCGAUUUUAUAAGAGUUAAUAAUUUAUGAAAGUUAAUGUUUUAUAAUUAUUUUAAAUAAAUUAUUAGAAAUGAAAUGUUAUUCGUUUAUAAAGGUAUCUAGUUUUUUUAGAAAUAAAUUUAAUUUAUUAAUUUUUAAUUUAUUUAUUAAUUUAUUAAUAAAUAAAUUUAAUAAUUAAAAUAUUUUAAGGGAUAAGCUUUAAAAUAAAGUAUUAAAAAUUUAAUUAAUUUUUUUUUAAAAAAUAAUGUUUAGAAUUAGCAAUUAUUAAAAAGUUUGUUAUAAAUUAUUUAAAAAUUAUAUUAUUUAAUUAUAUUUUAAUUUUUUAUAAAGAUUUUGUUUUUAAUUUUAAUUAAUAAUUAAUAAUGAUAAAAUUAGUAUAUUUUUUUUGUUUAUAUAAUUAUAAUUGAUAAGUUUAUAUAAAGAACUCGGCAAAUAUAUUUACUCGCCUGUUUAACAAAAACAUGUCUUUUUGAGUUAUUUUUAAAGUCUAACCUGCCCAAUGAAUAAUUUAAAUGGCCGCAGUAUUCUAACUGUGCAAAGGUAGCAUAAUCAUUAGUCUUUUAAUUGAAGGCUUGUAUGAAUGGUUGGACGAAGUAUAAUCUGUUUCAUAUAAAAUUAUUAUAGAAUUUUAUAUUUUAGUCAAAAAGCUAAAAUUUUAUUAAAAGACGAGAAGACCCUAUAAAUCUUUAUAAUUUAUUUAAUUUUUAUUUUUUAGAUUUAAUUUUAUUUAAAUUAAAUAAAAUAUUUUGUUGGGGUGAUAUUAAAAUUUGAAAAACUUUUAAUUUAUAUAAACAUAAAUUAAUGAAUUAUUGAUCCAUUAUUAAUGAUUAAAAGAAUAAGUUACUUUAGGGAUAACAGCGUAAUUUUUUUGGAGAGUUCUUAUUGAUAAAAAAGUUUGCGACCUCGAUGUUGGAUUAAGAUAUAAUUUUAGGUGUA
Molecule: ribosomal RNA, 1023 nt
Filed under: Campiglossa bidentis
Lineage: Eukaryota; Metazoa; Arthropoda; Insecta; Diptera; Tephritidae
Description: partial 16S ribosomal RNA
Source: RNAcentral